RNAcentral lists this ribosomal RNA (639 nucleotides) under Chrysis horridula. Its description in RNAcentral is "eukaryotic LSU rRNA". It matches the Rfam family "Eukaryotic large subunit ribosomal RNA", at positions 402 to 812 of the family's 3401-position model. Lineage: Eukaryota; Metazoa; Arthropoda; Insecta; Hymenoptera; Chrysididae. The record is from RNAcentral.
AAACCGUUCAGGGGUAAACCUGAGAAACCCAAAAGUUCAAACGGGGAGAUUCACCGUCAGCGGAGCAGGCUUCGCGGAGGUGCGUGAUGUCGCGGCGACCUCGGUCUCGCUUCACUCGUCCUCUGCGCAUGUCCGGCGACGUCGGCGUGCACUUCUCCUCUAGUAGGACGUCGCGACCCGUUGGGUGCCGGCCUACGGCCUCGGGGUGCAGCCCGUCGCGCCGCUUCGGCGCGCGCGACGGUACGCACAACGGUAUCGGGCCGCCAUUAUUCGACAAGGCGUCGGGCCAGCCGCAAGAGAGUCAGGAUUUCGAAAAGCCGGUGGUAAGUCGGACCUAGCGCCGUCCCCGGACCUGACACUCUGCUGGCCGGCGUGGUCCUCCGACGGGCCGAAACGUGAACGAUACCGGUCAGCGACGCUAUUGCUUUGGGUACUCUCAGGACCCGUCUUGAAACACGGACCAAGGAGUCUAACAUGUGCGCGAGUCAUUGGGACUUGAAAGACCUAAAGGCGAAAUGAAAAUGAAGGUCGGCCUCGCGCCGACCGAGGGAGGAUGGGCCGCGUCACGAUGCGGCUCCGCACUCCCGGGGCGCCUCGUUCUCAUUGCGAGAUGAGGCGCACCCAGAGCGUACACGUUGG